This 431-nucleotide ribosomal RNA is filed under the name uncultured bacterium. RNAcentral's name for it is "partial 16S ribosomal RNA". It matches the Rfam family "Bacterial small subunit ribosomal RNA", at positions 29 to 507 of the family's 1533-position model. The record is from RNAcentral.
AGCGAACGCUGGCGGCAGGCUUAACACAUGCAAGUCGAGCGCCCCGCAAGGGGAUCGGCAGACGGGAGAGUAACACGUGGGAACAUACCUUUUGGUUUGGAACAACUUAGGGAAACUUCAGCCAAUACCGGAUAAGCCCUUACGGGGAAAGAUUUAUCGCCGAAAGAUUGGCCCGCUGCUGAUUGGCUAGUUGGUGGGGUAACGGCGCGCCAAGGCGACGAUCAGUAGCUGGUCUGGGAUGCUGUGGAGCCUCACUGGGGCUGCGACACGGGCCAGACUCCUACGGAAGGGAGCAGUAGGGAGUAUUAGGCGCUGGGGGCAACCCUGACCAAGCCACGCCGCGUGAGUGAUGAAGGCCUUAGGGUUGUAAAGCUCUUUUGGCCGGGAAGAUAAUGACGGUACCGGGAGAAUAAGCCCCGGCUAACUUCGUG